CUGGCGGCAGGCCUAACACAUGCAGUCCAGCGAGAAAGCCCUUCGGGGUGAGUAGAGCGGCGGACGGGUGAGUAACGCGUAGGAAUCUACCUGGUAGUGGGGGACAACUCGGGGAAACUCGAGCUAAUACCGCAUACGCCCUUCGGGGGAAAGCGGGGGAUCUUCGGACCUCGCGCUAUUGGAUGAGCCUGCGUCGGAUUAGCUUGUUGGUGAGGUAAAGGCUCACCAAGGCGACGAUCCGUAGCUGGUCUGAGAGGAUGAUCAGCCACACCGGGACUGAGACACGGCCCGGACUCCUACGGGAGGCAGCAGUGGGGAAUAUUGCGCAAUGGGCGAAAGCCUGACGCAGCCAUGCCGCGUGUGUGAAGAAGGCCUUAGGGUUGUAAAGCACUUUCAAUAGGGAGAAAAGGCCCACGGCUAAUACCCGUGGGAGUUGAUGUUACCUAUAGAAGAAGCACCGGCUAACUCCGUGCCAGCAGCCGCGGUAAUACGGAGGGUGCGAGCGUUAAUCGGAAUUACUGGGCGUAAAGCGCGCGUAGGCGGCUUGUUAAGUCAGCUGUGAAAGCCCCGGGCUCAACCUGGGAAUUGCAGUUGAUACUGUCAGGCUGGAGUACGAGAGAGGGAGGUAGAAUUCUAUGUGUAG
Molecule: ribosomal RNA, 643 nt
Filed under: uncultured Gammaproteobacteria bacterium
Lineage: Bacteria; Pseudomonadati; Pseudomonadota; Gammaproteobacteria
Description: bacterial SSU rRNA
Rfam family: Bacterial small subunit ribosomal RNA
Source: RNAcentral